AGAGUUUGAUCCUGGCUCAGAGCGAACGCUGGCGGCGUGCUUAACACAUGCAAGUCGAGUGCGCGUCUGUAGCAAUACAGAUGGCGCACGGCGCACGGGUGCGUAACACGUGGGUAAUCUGCCCUUCGAAGGGGAAUAACUCGCCGAAAGGCGAGCUAAUUCCGCAUAACAUUCCGAGGACUUUGGUUCUUGGAUUCAAAGGCGUAAGUCGUCGGAGGAGGAGCCCGCGCACGAUUAGCUAGUUGGUAGGGUAACGGCCUACCAAGGCUAUGAUCGUUAGCUGGUCCGAGAGGAUGGCCAGCCACACUGGAACUGAGACACGGUCCAGACUCCUACGGGAGGCAGCAGUGGGGAAUCUUGCACAAUGGGCGAAAGCCUGAUGCAGCGACGCCGCGUGGGGGAUGAAGCUUCUCGGAGUGUAAACCCCUUUCGACCCGGACGAAUGCCCCGCAAGGGGACUGACGGUACGGGUAUAAGAAGCCCCGGCUAACUACGUGCCAGCAGCCGCGGUAAGACGUAGGGGGCCAGCGUUGCUCGGAAUUACUGGGUGUAAAGGGUUCGUAGGCGGUGUGGCAAGUCGGGAGUGAAAUCUCUAGGCUCAACCUAGAGUCUGCUUCCGAAACUGCUGUGCUUGAGUGUGGGAGAGGCGCGUGGAAUUGCAGGUGUAGCGGUGAAAUGCGUAGAUAUCUGCAGGAACACCCGUGGCGAAAGCGGCGCGCUGGACCACUACUGACGCUGAGGAACGAAAGCUAGGGGAGCAAACAGGAUUAGAUACCCUGGUAGUCCUAGCCCUAAACGAUCAGGACUUGGGGUGCCACCCGUUCGGGUGUCGUCCCGGAGCUAACGCGUUAAGUCCUGCACCUGGGGAGUACGGUCGCAAGACUGAAACUCAAGGAAUUGACGGGGGCCCGCACAAGCGGUGGACAUGUGGUUCAAUUCGACGCUACGCGAGGAACCUUACCUGGGCUCGAAAUGCUUCUGACAAGCUGUAGAAAUACGGGCCUUCCCGCAAGGGAC
This 1017-nucleotide ribosomal RNA is filed under the name uncultured bacterium. Its description in RNAcentral is "bacterial SSU rRNA". It matches the Rfam family "Bacterial small subunit ribosomal RNA", at positions 8 to 1027 of the family's 1533-position model. The record is from RNAcentral.